Salarias fasciatus (jewelled blenny) is the source of this 101-nucleotide long non-coding RNA. RefSeq lists it as uncharacterized. The transcript has 3 exons. The record is from RefSeq and is a predicted model, not a curated record. Lineage: Eukaryota; Metazoa; Chordata; Actinopteri; Blenniiformes; Blenniidae.
UUUCACACAAUAUAUUAAUUUGAUUUCAACACGUUGUAAUACUGUAAAUCUUCUGACAACACACAGCAAUACACGAACAGUAACACUCAGGCAUGUUUUAG